Molecule: ribosomal RNA, 511 nt
Filed under: uncultured bacterium
Lineage: Bacteria
Description: partial 16S ribosomal RNA
Rfam family: Bacterial small subunit ribosomal RNA
Source: RNAcentral
AUUGAACGCUGGCGGCAUGCCUAACACAUGCAAGUCGAACGGCAGCACAAUAAAGAUUUCGGCCUUUAUGGGUGGCGAGUGGCGGACGGGUGAGUAACGCGUAGGAAUCUGUCCUGGAGAGGGGGAUAACCCGAGGAAACUCGGGCUAAUACGGCAUGACAUUGAGAGAUCAAAAGCAGGGGACCGAAAGGCCUUGCGCUCUGGGGUGAGCCUACGGCGGAUUAGCUAGUUGGUGGGGUAAAGGCGUACCAAGGCGACGAUCCGUAGCUGGUCUGAGAGGAUGACCAGCCACACUGGGACUGAGACACGGCCCAGACUCCUACGGGAGGCAGCAGUGGGGAAUCUUGGACAAUGGGGGAAACCCUGAUCCAGCGAUGCCGCGUGUGUGAAGAAGGCCUUCGGGUUGUAAAGCACUUUAGGUGGGGAAGAAAGGUAGCGAGUGAAUAACUUUCUGCUGUGACGGUACCCACAGAAUAAGCACCGGCUAACUCUGUGCCAGCAGCCGCCGUAA